UACGGAGGGUGCAAGCGUUAUCCGGAUUUACUGGGUUUAAAGGGUGUGUAGGCGGGCUUUUAAGUCAGUGGUGAAAUCUCCGGGCUCAACCCGGAAACUGCCAUUGAUACUAUUAGUCUUGAAUUCUGUUGAGGUGGGCGGAAUAAGUCAUGUAGCGGUGAAAUGCAUAGAUAUGACUUAGAACACCAAUUGCGAAGGCAGCUCGCUAAACAGAUAUUGACGCUGAGGCACGAAAGCGUGGGGAUCAAACAGG
RNAcentral lists this ribosomal RNA (253 nucleotides) under uncultured bacterium. Its description in RNAcentral is "partial 16S ribosomal RNA". It matches the Rfam family "Bacterial small subunit ribosomal RNA", at positions 524 to 776 of the family's 1533-position model. The record is from RNAcentral.